GACGUCCUACGGGGGGCAGCAGUGGGGGAUAUUGCACAAUGGGGGAAACCCUGAUGCAGCGACGCCGCGUGAGUGAAGAAGUAUUUCGGUACGUAAAGCUCUAUCAGCAGGGAAGAAUAAUGACGGUACCUGACUAAGAAGCCCCGGCUAACUACGUGCCAGCAGCCGCGGUAAUACGUAGGGGGCAAGCGUUAUCCGGAUUUACUGGGUGUAAAGGGAGCGUAGACGGCAGAGAAAGUCUGAAGUGAAAGCCCGCGGCUCAACCGCGGAACUGCUUUGGAAACUUUUCGGCUAGAGUACCGGAG
RNAcentral lists this ribosomal RNA (305 nucleotides) under uncultured bacterium. RNAcentral's name for it is "bacterial SSU rRNA". It matches the Rfam family "Bacterial small subunit ribosomal RNA", at positions 334 to 654 of the family's 1533-position model. The record is from RNAcentral.